UUUCCAGUCACCUCGUUGGGGGCCCUUUUAUCCCGGUUUGAAACACCAACCGGGAUAAAUGACCCCCUUUUAUCCCGGUUGGUGUUUCCAACCGGGAUAAAAGGCUCUUGACCCUUUUAUCUCGGUUGGUGUUACCAACCGGGAUAAAAGGGGGGGUCUUUUAGGGAACAUAUCCAGUAGAAACCACACCCUUCAUGAAAACCUGUGCAAACCAAAAUAAAAAUUCGUCUAAAUUCACAAAAAAAAUCACACAUGUAGAUGAUAUAUGAUGAUACACAUCCUUGUAAAAUAUCUUGUCCAAACUCAACUUCGUUUGUGAGAUAUAAAAAUAAAAGAUUCUAAUAAAUCAUUUGGACAACUUUCAGCCUUGGU
This 372-nucleotide long non-coding RNA is filed under the name Setaria italica (foxtail millet). RNAcentral describes it as "long non-coding RNA (SITA_LNC006178)". The record is from RNAcentral. Lineage: Eukaryota; Viridiplantae; Streptophyta; Magnoliopsida; Poales; Poaceae.